RNAcentral lists this ribosomal RNA (96 nucleotides) under Nephroma bellum. RNAcentral's name for it is "partial large subunit ribosomal RNA". It matches the Rfam family "Eukaryotic large subunit ribosomal RNA", at positions 1 to 100 of the family's 3401-position model. Lineage: Eukaryota; Fungi; Ascomycota; Lecanoromycetes; Peltigerales; Nephromataceae. The record is from RNAcentral.
CUCGGAUCAGGUAGGGAUACCCGCUGAACUUAAGCAUAUCAAUAAGCGGAGGAAAAGAAACCAACCGGGAUUGCCUCAGUAACGGCGAGUGAGGGG